This 76-nucleotide transfer RNA is filed under the name Pseudomonadota bacterium. RNAcentral describes it as "tRNA-His". It matches the Rfam family "tRNA". From Rfam's summary of the family: Transfer RNA (tRNA) molecules are approximately 80 nucleotides in length. Their secondary structure includes four short double-helical elements and three loops (D, anti-codon, and T loops). RNAcentral also lists the same sequence under 1 other name. Lineage: Bacteria; Pseudomonadati; Pseudomonadota. The record is from RNAcentral.
GCGGUCGUAGCUCAGUUGGUAGAGCACCUGGUUGUGGUCCAGGUCGUCGCGGGUUCAAGUCCCGUCGAUCGCCCCA